RNAcentral lists this ribosomal RNA (301 nucleotides) under uncultured bacterium. Its description in RNAcentral is "partial 16S ribosomal RNA". It matches the Rfam family "Bacterial small subunit ribosomal RNA", at positions 512 to 809 of the family's 1533-position model. The record is from RNAcentral.
CAGUCGGCGGUAACACAGAGGGUGCGAGCGUUAAUCGGAUUUACUGGGCGUAAAGCGUGCGUAGGCGGCUUUUUAAGUCGGAUGUGAAAUCCCUGAGCUUAACUUAGGAAUUGCAUUCGAUACUGGGAAGCUAGAGUAUGGGAGAGGAUGGUAGAAUUCCAGGUGUAGCGGUGAAAUGCGUAGAGAUCUGGAGGAAUACCGAUGGCGAAGGCAGCCAUCUGGCCUAAUACUGACGCUGAGGUACGAAAGCAUGGGGAGCAAACAGGAUUAGAUACCCCUGUAGUCCCUGUCUCUUAUACAA